This 465-nucleotide ribosomal RNA is filed under the name uncultured bacterium. Its description in RNAcentral is "partial 16S ribosomal RNA". It matches the Rfam family "Bacterial small subunit ribosomal RNA", at positions 28 to 507 of the family's 1533-position model. The record is from RNAcentral.
GACGAACGCUGGCGGCGUGCUUAACACAUGCAAGUCGAACGGUGAACUCCGCUUGCGGGGGGAUCAGUGGCGAACGGGUGAGUAACACGUGGGCAACCUGCCCUCAGCUCUGGGAUAACUCCAAGAAAUUGGGGCUAAUACCGGAUAUGACCGCUGACCGCAUGGUCUGGUGGCGGAAAGAUUUAUCGGCUGGGGAUGGGCCCGCGGCCUAUCAGCUUGUUGGUGGGGUAGUGGCCUACCAAGGCGACGACGGGUAGCCGGCCUGAGAGGGUGACCGGCCACACUGGGACUGAGACACGGCCCAGACUCCUACGGGCGGCAGCAGUGGGGAAUAUUGCGCAAUGGGCGAAAGCCUGACGCAGCGACGCCGCGUGGGGGAUGACGGCCUUCGGAUUGUAAACCUCUUUCAGCAGGGACGAAGCGAAAGUGACGGUACCUGCAGAAGAAGCCCCGGCCAACUACGUG